Molecule: long non-coding RNA, 259 nt
Filed under: Chinchilla lanigera (long-tailed chinchilla)
Lineage: Eukaryota; Metazoa; Chordata; Mammalia; Rodentia; Chinchillidae
Description: lncRNA (ENSCLAG00000022945.1)
Source: RNAcentral
GUCUGACAAGAGUGUUAAUACAAGGGAAAAAGUAGAGCUCAGAAAUGGACAGAAAAUAAAUCGAUGCAAUCAUGUGCACUAGAUUCGUGCUGCAUACAAAAAAGAUCACAGGAAACAUUUAUCUCCAACAUUAAGCCACUUGGAGGAGAGAUUAAAUCUGUGAAGAAAGCCUGCUGAAUGACUAAAGUGUCUCAGGGCAGAACAGAUGAACUCCAGGUGCAGCUCCCAGGCUCAGGGAAUAAGGUAAUCAGAGUUAUCC